RNAcentral lists this ribosomal RNA (512 nucleotides) under uncultured bacterium. Its description in RNAcentral is "bacterial SSU rRNA". It matches the Rfam family "Bacterial small subunit ribosomal RNA", at positions 15 to 518 of the family's 1533-position model. The record is from RNAcentral.
GAUUCUGGCUCAGAACGACGCUGGCGGCGCGUUUAAGCAUGCAAGUCGAGCGGCAAGGGCCUUCGGGCCCCUAGAGCGGCGGACGGGUGAGUAACACGUGGACAAUCUGCCCCCCGGCCCGGGAUAGCCCAGGGAAACCUGGAUUAAUACCGGAUGAGACGGGACCCGCGAUGGCGGGAUCCGGGAAAGGCGCUGCGGCGCCGCCGGGGGAUGAGUCUGCGUCCCAUUAACUAGACGGCGGGGUAACGGCCCACCGUGGCGACGAUGGGUAGCCGGCCUGAGAGGGUGGACGGCCACAUUGGAACUGAGACACGGUCCAGACUCCUACGGGAGGCAGCAGCUAAGAAUCUUCCGCAAUGGGCGAAAGCCUGACGGAGCGACGCCCGCGUGAACGAAGAAGGCCGUGAGGUUGUAAAGUUCUUUUCGGGAGGGGGAACAACCGUGGCAGGGAAUGGCCGCGGGAUGACGUGAAUCCCGGAAUAAGCCCCGGCUAACUACGUGCCAGCCGCAGC